CAUGAAGAAAAUGUUCACCUAAAGGCUUCUAAGUGAUGUUUUGAUAAAAAUGGUUUAUCUGUGAGAUCCAGUUCUAUCAAUGAAAGUUUGUUUCCACAAAAUUUGCUGUUUAAAAAUAACCCAUUUAGAAAGACAUAGCAACAGCAAAUAUUCCUUACGUCUUUCUGAACAGGUUACUUUUAAUAUGUAGAAAGGACAUUCAUGCAUUUUUGAGUGAUAGAAACAGAAGUUAGAGUGAUACGAGAAGCAAAAGAAGGAAGUAGAAUGAAAGCGCCACGAAGGAAAAAUGUGACUUUGUAACGUGGUGCUGUUGAACAUGCUGAUUUGUGAUCUGGACUUAAUGAAGAACUACCAAGCUGCUGAAUUUAUACUACACUGAUUAUUUCAAGAAACAUUUUCAAGUGCCUACGCUGUAUUACUCACCAUGGUACCCUACGUAAGUAUAAUCUCAGACUAUAAUAAUUUAGGUAACAUAAAGAAAAGUCACGGAAGUGAAGGAGCAAGGCAUUUGGAGAGAAGAGCUAUGAAGCCCAAUCUGAAUGACAGAGGUCUUUUGUCAGGAAGGACAGGAGACAGGGCUAGUGAGAGGUCCAAAAGAGUGAAAAAAGGUUUUAGGCUAGACAAUGCUCCACACCACAAGCCACACUGGCCAGGGCAGACCCUUAGUUCUUGGUGACUGCUGGCCUGGCAACAGAGAAAAAGAGUCAGAAGUGACUAUGGGUUCAGAACCUGCAUCCUUAGGAAAAAUGAGUUAUUCUCAUUUUACCUCUGUGUAUAAGCUACACUAAGAGUUUGCUUUUGAAUGGGUAAUCUAUAUGAUUUUUAAAACAUUCUUUUGUUAUUUUCUGUGCAUACUUUUGGAUAUUUGGAUACUUUUGUUACAGUAUAGGCCUUGUUUUUAACUAUCUGGAUCCAAAUCAUAUCUUCAGGAUGAGGUCUUAAUAUGGUCCUAAGAUAUGAAGUCUUAUUUUGUCCUACAGGUCUAGUUAAAGCAGUGACCCCUUUGAAUUAAGACUGUCCAUGAAGGAAUUGGGAAGAAGAAUAAAGUAGAUCAUCCCAUCUCCUAUCCUAUGCUUUUUAGUUUUUCAUGCCUACUACUCUCUUCCAUCUUAGCCGUUGACAUUAGUGUUUUAUUUGCUUCAAAGCAAAUCAUACCAUGCAUAGCUACAGAGCUAGGAUUAUAGAGUGGACUUCAAACAAACUUAAGCAAAGAUCCCAAGAAAAGAAUUAUUUAUGUUUUUGUAACCACCACACUUGUACACACAUGUGGUGUGUGUG
Phyllostomus discolor (pale spear-nosed bat) is the source of this 1278-nucleotide long non-coding RNA. RefSeq lists it as uncharacterized. The record is from RefSeq and is a predicted model, not a curated record. The transcript has 4 exons. Lineage: Eukaryota; Metazoa; Chordata; Mammalia; Chiroptera; Phyllostomidae.